GACGAACGCUGGCGGCGUGCUUAACACAUGCAAGUCGAGCGGUAAGGCCCUUUCGGGGGUACACGAGCGGCGAACGGGUGAGUAACACGUGGGUGACCUGCCCUCAGCUCUGGGAUAAGCCUGGGAAACCGGGUCUAAUACUGGAUAUGACUCCAUGACGCAUGUUGUGGGGUGGAAAGCCUUGUGCGGCUGAGGAUGGGCCCGCGGCCUAUCAGCUUGUUGGGNGGGGUGA
Molecule: ribosomal RNA, 232 nt
Filed under: uncultured bacterium
Lineage: Bacteria
Description: partial 16S ribosomal RNA
Rfam family: Bacterial small subunit ribosomal RNA
Source: RNAcentral